Molecule: long non-coding RNA, 39189 nt
Filed under: Citrus x clementina
Lineage: Eukaryota; Viridiplantae; Streptophyta; Magnoliopsida; Sapindales; Rutaceae
Description: Citrus clementina (C. clementina) long non-coding RNA (CCLE_LNC000543)
Rfam family: Plant small nucleolar RNA R71 (bases 15595-15701)
Source: RNAcentral
UCUCAUUCACAUGUCCAACAUGACAACAUUGGAAGAAGAAUCAUCCAUCCUGGAAUUCAUUCGCCAGUUUCUUCUCGGAGACUUUACCUCCUUAGACGACCCAAAUCUCUCUUUUCUCCAGCCUAUCGAGUCAGAAUUCCCUGUGAUCAAAUCCGAACCCGACUCCCCCACCCUCUGUGAAAUAAUAAAACCUGAAACAUUGGACAUAACGUGUUUGGGUUCCAGUAAUUGGACAACAUCACCUCAAAAGUAUGGAGAGAAUAUGGUAGAAGAGCACUGCUCGAGGACGGCGGCGUAGAACCUGAGCCGCCUCCGGGUGGCACAGUAGAUGCUGAACCUCCAGUGGAGGUGGAAGAAGUAGUAGGACUUUGGCCAGGAGCUGCAGAUGGACUAGCGCCGGGGCUUCCAUCGGACUCAACUUCAAUCCUAAGUCUCUGGCCGGCUUGGCAAUGACCUGGUAUUCCGCAAAUGAAGUAAUAGAUACCGGGCGCAUUGAGAGUGAUGGCGUCAGAGCCUGAGAUGUGAUGUUUUAUCGAAGCUUUUGCAUUGCAUGCAACGUAAUCUGCCUCAGUCACUUCAUGCACGUCGUGCAUGGCGUUGUUAUACUUGAAAACUGCAUUAAUUAAGCCAUGCAAUUAGGAGAUACAUAAUUAACCGUGUAGUUGUAUAAUAUUCUCGGUUCUUCACAAUGCAAUAUAUAAGAAAUUGCUCAAACAGUAGAAUUAUAAAUAACAGAUUGUGUACGUAGGUGCGCCUUUAGUACUUAGGGUUUGAGCAUAUAUUACUCUGUCAGUCUAUUUGCAAUAAUUACCCAAAAGAUUCAUGUAGUAUAUCUGUUUCGGUUGAAAUAUGCUCAAUUAUUCUAUAUUUUUCACCUAUUAAGAAGAAGAGAUGCAAGAAUGGGUCAGCAGAUAUGCUAGCUAUCGUAGGUCUUUGCUGUAGAGCCUGUACCCAGUGGAAUUUUCCUCUGUUUGAGAUAAAAUCUCUCCUCUAGAGCGAUGCAAAGGAUUUUCGAAGAUGUGAAUUUUGUUAAUUUGCUUCUUAUGCUUUAGUGCCAUAUAUUUUUUGAAGGUAUGGAUUGUUACGUCCCUGCUAAAUAGUUGCGCUUAGAUUUUUCAUUUUGCAAAUAAAAUUUUCUCGUUCUAUCGAAGUUUAACCCCCCAAAAAAAAAAUAGUGGAACAAAUCACAAACUCACCGAGGGUAUCACCAACUUUGAAUUCUUUUCCAUCUACCCAUGAAUAGUAAUCAACUUUGCCUUGUGUCGUCCAGCCGGUAUUGUCACCAACGGUAUAAGUAGUAGCUGCCACGGAGGCUCCAAGGAGAGCCAUGAUUGUUAAGGAAAUCACAGCACUCUUUGCCAUUGCCAUUAUUACUUUAUUAUACUGUUUUAAAAUUAAUUACCAAAACUUCUAAUAACGAGAGAGUUUAUAUAGGCUUUGGUACUUCUUUGCCACCAAGCAUUGCUGUCUAUAUUUAGCUUGAGACUGGUGUUUUAUCCGAGCGAUGUGCAAGGAAAUGAUCGGAAAACAAAAUAUCUAACUUGGACUAUUUAAAAAUAGGAUACAAGUAAUGAAAUUAAUUACUGGAAUAACAGAAAUAACUGUAAUAAUGGGAAAUAACAGAAAAAAUUAUGGAUGUGUUUGUACAUCCCUUUUGAUUCAUCGACCCAUUUUUUUUAUAAAAAAAAAUCACGAGUUAUAAGUCCAUAAAAAUAUUAGAGAAUCUAAAUGGAUUCUCACCGUUCAUUGCUCUUUUAAAUGUUAAUCUAUUCCACGUUUAUAAGCAUAAUAUCUACGAUUUUUAUCAUAUUUACUGGCAACCAGUGGCGGACCCAGGAAUUUAAGCCAGACGGGGCUUGCUAUAAAUUAUCUUCUCUAAGUAUUCGUUAUUUCACUAGUUUUCAUAACUUAGAAGAAAACAUGGCUGAUAAGAAAAAAAAAAUUACUUAUGAAUAAUCUGCAAAUCUUACUGCAUAACAUUGGGUUUGAUAUAUUUUGAUUAUCCUCAGACUAGUUUAUUAUUUUAUUUGUCAGUACAGCAUAAUCAUCAUUAACAAUUAAAAAAAUGCUGAGUAAAAUUUUUUAUUUUUGUUUAUUUAAAAAAACUUUUUGAUUUAAUUUCAUAAUAUUUUUCCAAAUGAGUUUCUUAAUCAUCUUGAAUGCAGUAGAUCUAAAGAGGAUAUAAGAAAAGAAUUGAGAAAAAGAGCCAUAAGCACUAAAUUUUAAAACCAAGUAUGUUGUUCUAAUAAGUGUUUUAGAAUAAACUGUAAAAAUAUUUUACUAAAGAGUGAGACUACUAGCAGCCCUCCAAAAUCUUUAUAAACCUCUAUUGAGGUACCUAAAGAACACUGCUAACAUGUGUUUACAAUUCUAAAAGUCAGAACACCUUGAUUUAGUACCUUACACAGAUGCCGGAAAUGAGAAUCUUUGUACAAAAUAUUUUCAGAAGUAUUUAUGAAUAAUUAUCAAAUAUUUGAUUAACUACAAAUCUCAAUUUUUAUUUAACUAUAUUUCUUUCUUUUUGUUUUUUACCAGUUUUAAAUUUAAAUAUUUGGGACCGAAAUUUUUCAACAUAUCAAAGCAUUAGGGAAAAAAGCUGUCUUAUUUUAAAUCAAUAAUGGAACUUUACUAAAAAAAUUAAUACCGGCAAUGAUCGAUCAGACAAUCAUACAGGGGUGUAGUUAAAGAUUAAGGCUUAACUUUAAGUUUAUGUGAAAAGAGGCCUCUUGACUAAAGCAUAUUUGAAAUUGGGGGAUGUCGAGGAAUUUUGUUGGAUCUUAACAGUUUCACACUUUGAAAUUUGAAAACACAAAAGGGGCUUACAAUUUUCAUUUAAGGCAAUUUCAAGGCCCUGAGUGGGUCUGCUUGUGCUUGCAAUUAUGUCUGACUCUAAUUAUAUUUGGAGUAAUGCACUAAUUUCAAUGGCUCUAAUAUUUGGGCCCUAACUAGUUUGACAACUUAUUUGUAAUUAGCAUAUCAACUAUAUUAGGAUGUAACAGGUAGUAGCGGUUUUAGCAUUAAACAAAUUAAGCAGCUUUUCAGGCUUCAAUGCUUCAUAUUUAGAUAGUUAUCAAUUUUUAAGUAUCUAUUUGUUAAUUAGUAUAAGUAAUAAUUUUUUUAUGAUACUAAAAUAGUUUAAGUUAUUUAUAUAUUUUAAGAGUCCAGCUAUGUUUGGCACCCUAUUUUUUGCCUUUUUCAAAGGAUAAUUUUUGGAUACCUCCCCUGAGAUUUGCACCUGCUACACUUAGAGAGAAUGCUUGCAUAUAUUGACAUAUAGCACCUUUGAAGGUAUAUAAGUGUUAGAGUGCCGUUUGGUAGUUAAGGGUAAAAAUGUAAUUGCAAUAAUUUAAAUUUUUUAAACUAUAAAGAAUUUAUUGACCGAUUAAACAAGUCACUAUGCACCAGAACGCACAGUGAGUAAAUGAAAAAUCACUAUGCACUUUGAAUACAAAGCAUGGAACCAUGUGAAAACUAAGGGGGGAGCAACCCAUCUCCACUUCUUCUCAUCGACUUCACUUGAAAAUAUAUAAUACCCACUUGAUUCAGCUCAAAUGAACUUGUGAUAUAGUGAGAAAUAACCUCUCUGCGAUUAAGCAUGUUAAGAAGUAAAUUAUGUCGGCGGCCAACGUCUAAGCAGUCAAUCAUUGAAGAGCAUAAGGUGUGUAUUUCCAUUGAAACUUGAAGCUUAAUUUUGGGUUAAUUUUCGUCUUGCAUUUUGUUCAAUAGGAUGCUAGGUUGUGCUUCAAUUAAUUGAGAAGAUUGUAUAGCGUUCUGAAAAUUUGAAAUAGUUAUCGAAAUAAGUUGAAAAUCACUAUAAAAUUUUGGGUAAAAUACAAAAAACAUUUGAUUUUUUAAGAGAUAAGAAAGUGAGGAUCUGAGUGCCUGCUAAAUUUGACUUGCUCUGCUCUUCAUAUUAAAAAAAAAAAAACUUGUUGCUGGAAAUGCAAAGUUGUUACUACCGAGAAUGGUUAGUGAAUUUUUUCUUAUUUUUUGUUUUCGGUAAUAGUUUAUAGGUCAUGCUAAUAAAAUGAUGAUUGGCUACUAUCUUUUGUAAGUUGUACUUAAGAUAUUCGUCAAAAAUUAGUUAUAGAGGUUACAGUAAACUUGUUUCUCAAUAGAUUGAUACUUGGGUACAGGGGGAAGAUAAAGACAUGCAUUGUUUGUUCAUAAAUUUAUCCUUUUAUGAUUCAACCUGUUUUAAAAUAGGGUAUCUAUGUAUUUUAGUCUAUUUCAACAUCCUUGUUCUACUGUCUUUCUUCCACUUUGCAUCUUUUUAUAGUUUUACAUACACAUCGCAUUGUUAUGCACUUUGCCCAUUAAUUUAGGAACUACAUAUAUUGUUAUCAAUCUAGUACUGACAAUGUGUUACUCUUUAUCAACUUGAUCAUUUGAUCCAUAAUGAUUGUUACACCAACACAUACUAUAACAUACAUCUAGUUUUAGGUACAUCUUUUAUAUUUUUUAAUAAUUAUUCACAAAUAAUAAUAAUUCACUCAUCAACUGAAUAAAGUCAUAGCUCAUGCAUUUUCUGAUUUUUUGUGUGAAGUUAUUUUUAAGAUUGUUGAUGAAGUAAAUGGCAUUGAUUAAGGCUAAUUACUUUUGUCAUUGUUUAUGAAGCUUAGUAUACUUUGACAUUGAGGCAAUGAUAGAUGGUGAAGUUUUUGCAAUUGGUCUUGUUAUUCUAGAUCACUAUAGCCUGCAUAAAAUAUAGGUUGAUAGUAGGGAUGUUUGUUGGGGUCACCCUAUUAGGGAUGCGAAUGGGAUAAGGGUUCCAGUGAUGUUUCCAUGGCAGACUGAGCAGCAAACAUUACUAACUAAUAAAGACUUGCUAGGGGCAUUUGAACAACUCAGAGUAAAGGGGUAUAGUUGGGCAAGAUUUAUGGUCACACUUGAUGAAGACUUUUUACCAUCUUUUUCUUCAAUGGUCCAACCAAGUGAAACACAAACAGAGGUAGUCCUAAAUUUGAAUGAAAAUGAAACCUUAGCAGAUAAGUGCACACAACAAUUGAACAAUGAUGUGGAAAUUGGAAACGGAGAGAAGGAAAAUUAUUCUAAGGCAUUUUUAGAUGAAUUUGAAUAUGAUUAUAAUGCUGAUGGCUCUGAUCUAGGUGGUUUUGACCCAGAUGGCUCUGAUCUAGAUGAUGCUUUUAGAGAUUAAGGUAACAACUGUGAUGAUCUUGAAGACUACGAAUCUGGGGAUGAUAGUAGAGAUGAGUUAUAUGAUGAUAUUUUCAAAGAACAAGCUUGUAAUAGAUAUGAAAAGAGUGCUGGUGGUUUUGAGUUUAGUUCUGUUGGCUAUGAGAUAGUAUUGAGAUCAUGACAAUUGUUUGUCAAUGUGUGGGAUUUUAAAAAAGUUUUGAAGGCGUUCGCAAUUAGGAAUGGAUUCAGACUGAAGAGGUUGAAAAUGAGAAGAUAAGAGUAACAUGUGCGUGUGCAGCACCAAAUUACACUUGGAGAAUCCAUGCAAGUCCUAAUUAGAACCGAAGGUCGUUCCAAAUUAAGACUUACUGCCCAUGGCACACCUGUCCUAGAGUUGAUGACAAUUAUGGAGCAACUUUAGAUUGGAUAGUAGCCACAUAUCUGCAUCUAUUCAAAGCGAAUCCUGACUUGAAAAUUUCUGUUAUUGUGGCUGCUUUGAUGCAGAGUUAUAGAAUUGAAUGCAACAAUCAAAUGCUAUAUAAGGCUAAAAGGAAAGCACUUAAGUUACUCGGUGAAGACCACAAGACUAGUUACAGUAAAUUGUUUAGAUAUAUGCAUGCCUUAUUAAAUUUCAAUCCUAAUUCCAUUAUCUCUCUUGGAAGGAUUGGCUUGGUAGUGCUCAAUUUCCCACAUUUAAGAGGUUCUUCUUGUGUAUAUAUAGAUAGUAGUAGAAAAGGGAUUUAAUUAAAAGUGCAUGCCAUUAAUUUGGGGUAACAAUUGUCACUUAAAAGGACUAUACAAAAGUGUACUCCUAACAACUGUGAGCAUUGACGCAAAUAAUGAGAUUUAUCCUUUAGCUAUAUGUGUGGUUGAGUCUAAGAAUAAUGAGUAAUGAUAGUAUUUUAUGGAGAAACUAUAUGAUCAAGUGGGUUGUAAUGGUGGUGAAAGUUUAUAUUUUAUGAGUGAUAGACAAAAGGAUGUCCUCAAUGCCUUGGAUAGAGUGUUCCCUUUAUCAAUAAAGAGAUACUACUAUAGAUACAUUUAUGCAAACUUUAAGAACAAGUUUCCCGACUUGUUACUGAAGAAAGUGUUAUGGAGAGCAUGUAGGAGUUCUAACGCUGCUGACUUUAAUUCCCACAUGGAAGAACUAAAGACUAUAACUCCGGAUGGCUAUGAAUGGUUGAUGAAAAUUCCCAUUGCAUGUUAGGCAAAUCGUUUGUUCCUCCCUCACACCAAAUGCAGCCAUGUUACUAAUAACAUGAUUGAAUCCUUCAACAAUUGGAUCAACAAUUUCAGAGGUUUGCCAAUUGUAAGGAUGUCUGGGGAAAUACAAAGGAAAACCAUGCAGUUGAUUUAUAAAAGGCACGAGGCAGCCCUUGAAUGGAAUUGUGAGCUUUCAUAAGUUGUGAUAAGGAAGAUUAUUGAGAGAAUAGUAGAAGCAAAGUCACUCUCUGUCAUCUUUGGGCAUAAUGAGACAUUCGAGAUACUCGAAGACAUGACAAAAAUCACUGUUUUUGAUCUGUUGAGGAAGAAAUGUGACUAUGGUGAAUGGUGUAUUUCUGGACUUUCUUGCAAACAUGCCCUCUGUUGCAUAUAUACAAAGAGGUAUCAUGUGGAAGACUAUAUACAUCCAUAUCUUAAAAAGGCAGCUUUCAUUGAGACUUACAAACAUCAAUUUAAACCAACUCUUGAUGAGAAAAAGUGCCCACUCAUACUUUAUGACAAUUUGCAGCCACCAACAACUAUAAAGACAAUUGACAGACCUCAAACUAAUAGAAGGAAAGAAAAUGGUGAAUCUUCAACCUUCUAGAGAAGCUUAAAUGUAAGGUGCUUUCACUAUGACUAGUGAGGACAUAAUAAGAGGACCCACCUAAGGACAACUAGUGAUUAUGAGCAAAAAAAAAUUAUGGAAAAGGUAAAACAAUUUAUUAAAAUUAAUCUUAAUUUUAACAUAAAAUUACACCUGAUCACUGAAAUAAUUAAUAAUUUUUAUUUUGUGAGGCACCAAUUGCUCAGACUAGUUCAAAUAUAAGAAAUAUAAUGAGCCAAACACAGUCAUCUGCCCAUGAUAAUGGUAAUAUUAAUGUUGGAAAUAUCUGUAGUGAAUAAACAAUCUUAAUUUUGUAGUUCUAUUGUCAUUAAACUUAAAGCAUCCGGCAAAUUUAAGAACAUAGAGCUAAGAAUAUAUGAGAAGAGAAAGCAUGUUAUCUAACCCCAUAUUCUUUUUUUUUUUUUUUUACAGAGAUCAGAUGAUGCAACACUUUUGCAAUACCCAAGUAUCAAAAGAUGGUGUAUCAUCUCUUGUUCACUUAACAUAUAAGUUUGAGUUCUUUUUAUUGAUAUUUUGUUGAAAUGUAGAAACUUUUAUACUAAUGCCAAAAAAUAGGUCCUAUAUGUCUUUCUUGACUUAAUUACAGCAACCUAUUAUGAUAGAUAGUUGCUUUAUUGCAUAUUUAUAUGGUGUACUUAUGUCAAUUGUAAGGGUUGGGUGUGUUAUUGUCUAAGAAAAUGAAUGUUCAAAGUCAAUUUUUGCUAGAAUGCCAAUUAUAUUAUAGUUUGAUUUAAAUUUAUUGUUGUUGCCUAUUGUUUCUGCUCAUACAUUAAGAAUGGAUUCUAUUGUUAUUUCUUAUUAUUUUAAUAAUCUGCUGAUGUUGAGAUGAAGUUCAAUUGAUUUAUAGAAUAGAGGCUUAGUUUGGACAGUGAGCUAGUGAAAUAAUAGUUUAUUUUGAAGUGUCUUGGUUUGUCAAAUAUGCAAUUGUGCUUUAUAAUUGCUUCUUUGGUUUAAAUAGUUAGAGACUUUUUUUACUGAAAUUGACUACCCAGUAAACAAUUGAUUGGAACUUAUUUUACAUGGAUUUGGUUUCACAAGUCUCUGAUCAUACAUUAGGAAUGGAUUUUGUUAUUGCUUAUUGAUAACUCUAUGAAAUGAGAGUUAUUAUGGCAAUUCUAGGCUUUAAAUCAAGAUCACUUAGAGAGUAAAUUAUGUGUUUCUAUUGCAUUUUUGUUUCAUUUUGCAUAAAUAAUCAUUUUAGUUAGUUAGCACAAGAGGAGAAUUUGCAGAAAUCAAUUAAUCAAUCAUUCUUAUUCUUCUCUUGUUUACUCGUUUUAUAUUUAUUUAUGGGGAUGUGUUUCAUGGCUGAAACUUUGUUCUUUAUUUUUCUUUUGCAAACCAUGAACUAAAUUUAUCUGUGGUUGAGUGAUAAACAAUCUUGAUGGUUUAUUGACUGAAUAUAUGUGUUGCUGCAUGUUUGGUGUAGCAGUUUGUUUUGAUAGUAUUUAUGUUUAUUCAUUAUUUCGAUUGAUCACUCAUUUAAUGAUACAAGUUAGGAGAGAGCUGCAAAAUGACAUAUCUUAGGGGAACAUAUCAGAGUAAUACUUGGUUUUAGAUUGAGUUUUUUGGAUUGAGUUUAACUUAUCCCAAAAGGAUCAUACUUAAUCUAAAAUUAGUGAUGAACUAGACAUAGAGAUUCACCUUGUAGGGUAAAUAGAACUUAAGCGUGUAAUGCUAUAUCUUAUGUUGGCAUAAUAAUUUAUUACUGUUAGAUAGCAUAUAGAUAUAAGAUAUCCAACAUGUGACGGCUAAGGAUGCAUAAGGAUUCUGCCCAGUGCUGUAGUAGAUACUGCAGCAACCGAGCCAGCCAUUAAAAAAUAGUCAAGACCAUUAGGAGAGUUUAUUCACUCAACUACUCUAUAUUCCCAUUGGUUUUAUCCUUAAGCUUGACGUGAUAAUUUACUUUGUUGCAUUUUAAUUAUUGCGUUUUAUUUUAAUUAGUAUAUUAAUUUCAUUAAUUGUUUUAUCUUAAUUUACAACAAAAUCUGCACUGUUAAUAUUGUUGUAACAAAUCUGAUAACAUCAAUCCCUGUGGAGACUAUCUUGAAUACUCAUCACUUUAUUACUUGUUGUGUACACUUGCACAUUGACACCAAUAGCAUUAGUAUUUAUACCCAAUACUUAUUAUUUCAAUAAUCUAUUGAUGUUGAGAUGAAAUUCAAGUGAUUCACAUAAUGGAGGCUUAGUCUGGACAAUGAGCUAAUAAAACACAAUUUGUAAUUGAUUUUUUUCCUUUAAACAGUCAUACACACAAGUCAUAAUAAGCUGAAAUUCUUUGCAUUCAUACACAACAAGUUACAAAAAGAUCAAUUGAUUCAUCUUCAUGGCAGUACUUGUUCAUUAGGUACUUUAGGUACAAGUACAUGCAUUGGUUGCAUAAUGCUUAUGUUGCAACUAUAACUACACCCAUUAUUAAAAGUACAACAAUAAAAAUGAAAAAAAAAGAAGUUCAAGAACAAAAUUAUCUUAAUACCACUGCCUUUGCCCUCAUUGUUACGUGUAUCUUGCAUGUGUGAUUUCGAUUCCUUCAAAUUUUUUACAUAAUCAGUAGCAACUCAUAAUUUGCAUGACAUGUUCCUACACCUUUAAAUAUUUCACCUCGAUUGAAGUCAUUUAAGGAUGGCAUCUAGAACUUGAAAUAACCACAACCAUGUUUACUGCCCGUACAACAAUAGUAUAGCUUAUUUGGGUUGUCAUUUGAUUCCAAAAUCUUCAAACUAGCUCUUUUGUUGAACCUGCAUAUCUUAUUUGCAAAUCGAAUGAGGUUUCCAUUAAUCUCAUCCCUCCAUCCUCUGCAUCAUUGGUUGCUUGAUCCUAUGGUUUAAAUUUUGACAUAUAAAUCGAUAAUAUUUUAAAUUUUUUACACUAUUAAAAUAGAUUUCGAGUUAAAUGAUUUAUUUUUACAUUUAUAAAAUAUAUGUAUUUAAAUUAAUUAAUUUUCUUAGUAAUUAAUGAAUUAAUUAAUUUAAUAUAUAGUUAAACUAUAUUUAUUAUUUAAUAACUGUAAUUGACGAUAAAUAUAAAUACAAUUUUUUUUAAUUUAUCAUAACUGUAAUCAAUUUUCUCUCACCCAUUUAAGCAGGGUUCAAACUCCGUAUCCUUUUUUUUUUAAGAACAAGAGGUUUUACUAUCUCAAGUAGAUGAAAUGUACAAAAUAUGAAAAUGAAUUUAAUUUCAUAUUCUAUGUAGUUAAUGUUUUAUUAUUUUUUUGAAAUAUAACAUUUAUUUAACAUAGUAUCAAUUAUUUGAAUAUAUGAUGAAAAUAUAUUAGUUUACUAAUAAUAACAAAGUGUUAGUUUAAAAAUCUGCAAAAUCAUUUUUGUUUGCUUGAACAAGGACUUUUGUAUUGUCCAAAUUUGACAAUUUUGUGAUGUUGGAGUAUUGUGUUCAUGCUGAUAUAUUCAAAAGGUGCUUGUGACAUAGGUCUUGACUUCUAGAGGUCUUGGCUUCUAGAGACAUCACUGUAAUUGAAAAUUUGUAGGUAAAAGAGAAAUGUGUCAAAAUUUAAAAGUCCUUGGCUUUUUUGUUUUUAUAACAAAUAUCAAGACUCCAUUAUAGUUGACUUAGAAAAAGACAAAAAAGGGGUAACACACCUAUGUGCCAACAUAGUUUUGCCCUAUAUUAUGGGAAAACUAAUAUUUAGGCUUUACCUUAUUAUUACUCCUAUUCAUAAUUAUCUAUCUUAUUUGAUAAUCUUAUUCUUAAAAAUAAGAUAUAUUUUUAUGGUAUAUGUUGGUGUAUAAAUACUAAUGCUAUUGGUGUCAAUGUGCAAGUAUACACAACAAGUAAUAAAGUGAUGAAUAUUCAAGAUCGUCUCCACAGGGAUUGAUGUUAUUAGACUUGCUACAGCAAUCUUAACAGUGCAGAUUUUGUGUCUAAAUUAAGAUAAACAAUUGAUGAACUUAAUUUACUAAUUAAAAUAAAAACACAAUAAAUAAAAUGCAACAAAGUAAAUAUCACGUCAAUCUCAAGGAUAAAAUCAAUGGGAAUAUAAAGUAGUUUAGUGAAUAAACUCUUUUAAUGGUCUUGACUAUUUUUUAAAUGUUUGGUUCGAUUGCUACAACAUUUUCUACAGCACUAGGCAGAAUCCUUAUGUAUCCUCAGCCGUCGCAUGUUGGAUAUCUUAUAUCUAUAUGCAACCUAACAGUGAUCAGUUGCUAUUUACCCUACAAGGUGAAUCUUUAUGUUUAGUUCAUCACUAAUCUUAAAUCAAGCAUGUCCCUUUUGGGACUCAAGUAAAACUCAAUUCGGGAAACUUAAUUUAAGAUCAAGUAUUGUUCUUAUAUGUUCCACUAAGAUAGGCCCUUUUGCGGUUCUCUCCUAACUUGUAUCAUUAAAUAGGUGAUCAACCGAAAUAAUGAAUAAAAAUAAAUACUAUCAAAACAAACUGCUACAGCAAACAUGCAGCAACACAUAUAUUCAGUCAAUAAACCAUCAAGAUUGUUUAUCACUCAACCACAAAUAAAUUUAGUUCAUGAUUUGCAAAAGAAAAAUAAAAAACAAAGUUUCAGCCAUGAAACACAUCCCCAUAAAUAAAUAGAAAACGAGAAAACAAGAGAAGAAUAAGAAUGAUUGAUCAAUUGAUUUCUGCAAAUUCUCCUCUUGUGCAGCCCUUAAUCUCUCUCUUGAAUCUUGUUUUUCUUUUGUUUCUUUGUGUUUUUCUCCUUGGGUGACGGCUUUCCUAUUCCUUAUGAUGUGUACUUCUUUUAUAAUUGAAAAUUAGGGUAAACGGAAUCCUAGGGCACGCAUUAGUCAGAUUAGGAAACUGUAGAUCGCAAUUCCUUAUGAUGUGUACUUGUUUCAAUUCUUUUGCAGCUAAGUUUUUCCUCAUUUUUACAAGCCUAUUGUAUCAACAUUCAUUCUAUGAAUUAUAAGCUUCUGGAAACCUACAAUUAUGUACACAAUUUAAGCACGAAUUACUUUAAAUUAAGCAAAACUCAUUAAGACUAAACUAAAAUGAAUAUUUAUGCAAAAUGUAACAAAAAUACAAUAGAAACACAUCAUUUACUCUCUAAGUAAUAUUAAUUUAAGUCUAAAAGUGCUAUGAUAACUCUCAUUUCAUAGAGUUAUCACACCCCCAAACUUAAACCAUUACUUGUCCUCAAGUAAUGACAACAACGCUAACACUUCAAUCACACAGUCAUGCAACAAAUAACUUAGCUCUAUCAUCAAAUUUGCAAGAAUUUUUCCACCCUCAGAUCACAUUCUUAAUCACGCAAAAUAGAUCAAAUUCCAGAGGUGCUACAACAUUACAGAAACAUUGCAUAUAAUUCAAAGGUAGAACACAAAUAUAUUCACAUUUGGGGGAGCAGAAAUCAAAAAUAUACUCAAACUGUGCUACAACAGUAAUAAAAAAAAUUUUUUUCAGUUAAACCCUUCAAUGCAACAUUGAGCUUUCAUGUGAAUGUCUAUCACUUGCAAUGACGACACCCAAUUACUCAUUCAAAUUACAUGUCAGAGUUGCUACAGCAACGCAUUUAGGAUGUUAUAUCUAGGUCUUACCUUUGGACGCCUUUGACUCAAGGCUGAACAUGAGGCUCAUGAACAGAUCAUGUUACUCAGUAUCUUAGGUAGCGGACCUCUUUAUUUUUUAUUCCUUCAUCACAAUUUUUUUUUUUUUGCUUUGCUUUUUGCUUUUUUUAUAUAUAUAUAAUUGCUGCAGCACAGCUCAUAACUCUUGUUGCCUUUGGACUCAAGUUUGCAUAUGGGGUGUAAACUCAACCUUGGUUACUCAACAACUUAAACUAUUGGAGCAGAAUUUAUUUCAUAACAGGCACAAUCCAACAAAAAUUUUCCCCUAAACUUGAGAUAUUUUCUACUCUUUUUUUGGUUUUCCUCGCUCUCUAUAGCAUUCUCAUAAAACUGAACCAAAGUCUAAGUGUCGGGACAGAAAUUCAACCUCUAUCUAUAACUAUCUCUACUUGGCAUUCUCAUAAAUACUGAAUAACACUCAAUUUAUCUUCAUUAGGUUUUCAAAUCCAUACAAAAAUAUUAGAUAACAGAGCUUCACACAACACACAACACAAACAUAAACACAUGCACUCAGAAACACAACCCCCCCAAACUUGAGUGGUGUUGUGUCCUCACAAGCACACAAAACAAAACCACAUAAAUCAGACAUGCAUACACUAAAUAAAAGAACAUGUAGAAUGAAUUAGAAAAUUAAAACUAAAUGAAAGAAAAGUUUUAUAGAAAGAAGUAAAAUAAACUAGCAGGUAGGGAGGUACUCCCCUGUUGCUGGAAGCACUGCUGCAUCAUAGGUUGUAAAGGGUCACUUCUUCUUUGAUCCACUUCUUAAACGCUCCUUAUCAUAAAAUCUGAUCAAUUCAUUUGCUGCUGUAAAAGCAAGAAUGCCUCUGUUGUUUGAGAAUCUUCUGUUAUGUCAUACUGUAAGUGAUGCUGCAACAAUUCCCUCCUGCUCUUUUUGCCCACACAUUGUUUUUUUACUUGCUGCAAUGUAACAUAAAGACAUAAAAAAUUAGAUGCACACUUAAAAUAAUAAAAAGACAAAUUAAAUAAUUUAAAAGCUAAAUUCAAUGCCAUAAAAACUUGAAACAACUUCCCUUAUUGGGUUGUCUCCCAAUUAACGCUUGAUUUUAGGUAUUUCAGCCUGACCUUUCUUGUUUCCUCAACCUGGAUCCUUCAAGAACCGAUCAUUCUUUAGGUUGUUCAUAUCAUCUCUCAUAUAGUACUUCACUCUCGGCCCAUUAACCUUGAAUUCUUGUUGGUCUGGAGUGAGUCCCCUUUGCUGGAUUUGCUUGUCAAUUCUGAAAGGUUGUUUCUCCCACGACCAUGAUAUGUUAGCUGCUUCAUGAUUUUCAUCAUCAAGUUCUUCAAAUGUUACAACAUUAAUUUCUUCCUUACUACAACAACUGUAUAAUCUCUCUGCUACAAUAAAGUCCACAACACUAAUAAAAUUACAAUCUUCAAUCUCAUCAAGACUCUUCAUGGCAUCCAGCACAUUGAAUGUAACUUGCUGGUCAUUUACCCUCAUGGUUAAUUCUCCUUUUUGAACAUUAAUUAAAGUCUUUCCCGUGGCUAAGAAAUGUCUCCCUAAAAUGAUUGGCACUUCUUUGUCUGCCUCAAAGUCUAGCACAAUGAAAUCCACCAGAAAAAUAAAUUUAUCUACAUUCACCAACACAUCUUCAAUCUUCCCUUCUGGAUAGACAUGAGAUCAGUCAGCAAGUUGUAAAGUCACUGUUGUUGGUCUACAUUCACCAACUCCCAAUUACUUAAACACUGAUAAAGGCAUGAGAUUGAUGCUAGCCCCCAGAUCACAAAGUGUUUUGCCACUGUAUUCAGUGCCUAUGGAUCAUGGAAUUGUGAAGCUUCCUAGAUUCUUCAUCUUCUGUGGUAUCUUACUCUGAAGCAUUCGGUUGCACUCUUGUGUUAGAGCAACUAUCUCAAAUUCUCCAAGUCUUCUUUUCUUUGUCAAGAUAUCCUUAAAAAAUUUUGUAUAAUUUGGCAUUUGCUCUAGAGCUUCCACAAAAGGGAUAUUGAUAUGUAGUUGUUUCAGCACUCCCAAGAUUUUGCUGAACUGCUUGUCUUGUUUUUGCUUCUGAAACCUUUGAGGAAAUAGUGGUGGAUGUCUAAACUGUUGUGCUGCAGCAUGUUGUGCAGAUUGCUUCUCUUUUGCUCUACUCGGCUCUGUUGUUGUUGGUGUUGUAGCUUCCUCACCACCAGGUGCUAGAUCAUAACUUUCUGCAGAUGUUGUAGCAGAAUUAUGUUUAUUUGCAUUCUGAAAAGUGGAAGACUGUGACUUCUUCUCUACUUGAGUGUCUUCUUGGCCUUGGUUGGACUCAAUUCUUCUAUUUGGUAUACCAACUGAACUAUCAGCCUCCUUUCCAGAUCACAAGUUUAUCACUUUGCAGUGCUCUUUCCCUUCUCUUCUUGGGUUCUCUGUGUUACUGCGUAAACUGUCCUGAGGUCUAUUGCUUACUGCUGUAGCAAGCUGUCCAAUUUGAUUUUCUAAGUUUCUCAAAUAUGCAGCAUGACUUUGGACCACCGUUUCAUUAUUCACAAUAUAAUCCUUAAUUAAACCUUCAAGAGAGCUGAGUUGAUCAUUGUUGAUGCUUAUUUUCUCUUGAUUUUGCUGAUAAAAUCCAGCUGGUUGAGCAAGUUUGUUCUGUCCACUGGAUGCUGCAGCAGUCUGGUUCUGAUAACUCCUUGAAAAGUUCGGGUGCUGUCUCCAUUCAGGGUUGUAAGUGUUUGAAUAUGGAUUGUCCUGGUUUUAUCUAUUGAAGCUCCCCACAUAAUUGACUGAAGUUGGAUUCCUAGGACAAUUGUCAAAUAAAUGCCCUUUUCCACAAUAAACGCAUGACACAUCAGAAAUUUGGUUAACAGUUGUUGAAGCAGUGGUCAUAGCCUUUAUCAUCUUUGUUAAUGAAGUUACUUGGGCUGGCAAUGAUGUCAAGGCAUCUACGUUAUGGACUCAUGCUGUUCCUCUCACUGCAGCUUGUCUGGUUAAUGGCCACUGAUAGUUAUUGUUGGCUAUCCUCUCCAAAAUUUCAUAAGCCUCAUUGUAAGACUUAGAUAACAAGGCUCCAUUUACUGAAGCGUCCACCAUCAAUCUAGUGCUUGGCUUGAGACCAUUAUAGAAAGUUUCCAACUGUAUGCAGUAAGGAAUACCAUGAUGAGGACAUCUUCUGAGUAACUCCUUAAAUCUUUCACAUGUAUCAUACAAGCUCUCAUCUUUAAGUUGAUGGAAAGAUGUAAUCUCAUUCCUCAGUUUUGCAUUCUUGGUUGGUGGGAAGUAUUUCAUCAAAAAUUUAUCAGCCAAGUCAUUCCAUGUAGUGAUAGAAUCUGGUGGUAGAGAAUUCAACCAUGCUCUUGCUUGAUCUCUCAAAGAAAACGGGAAAAGUCUGAGUCUCAACGCUUGUUGCGAUGCUCCAGCAAUCUUGAAAGCAUCACUUACUUCCAAAAAUAACUUAAGGUGUAAAUGAGGAUCUUCGGAUGGCAAACCAUUAAAUUGCCCCACUGUUUGAAGCAUCUGAAACAUCACGGGUUUGAGUUCAAAAUUUUCAGCUUGAACAUCGGGUUUAACUAUUCCUGGACGUAUGGCUUGAGGAGUCAACACUGUGUAGUCUUGAAUGGUUCUAUCUCUAUCAUUCGCCAUGUGAAUAAUGUUGUUGUUCCCUGGUUGCUUUUGAACACAAUGUCCAUUCAAACCUUCAUGUACAUCGACUGGUUGUAUCUCCUCUAUACGGUUCAAGUUUCUCAAAUCUUACAAAUCAUCCAUUGCUACAGCAGCUUGUAAUUCCCAACGCUCUCUUCUUAAUCUCCUUGCAAUUCUUUCAAUUUCUGAAUCAAACUGGAAUUCAACAGAUUUAUAUUUGCGCAUGCAAGGGUUGCUAGAUCACCUAUGUCAACAAAAUAAACAAACUAAAAUAAAAUAAAAAAUUAGCACCGUUAAAACUAAUUUCACAAAUCACAAUGAACAAUCAAUCCCCGGCAACGACGCCAAAAACUUGUUGGUGUAUAAAUACUAAUGCUAUUGGUGUCAAUGUGCAAGUGUACACAACAAGUAAUAAAGUGAUGAGUAUUCAAGAUCGUCUCCACAUGGAUUGAUGUUAUUAGACUUGCUACAGCAAUCUUAACAGUGCAGAUUUUGUGUCUAAAGUAAGAUAAACAAUUGAUGAAACUAAUUUACUAAUUAAAAUAAAAACACAAUAAAUAAAAUGCAAUAAAGUAAAUUAUCACGUCAAUCUCAAGGAUAAAAUCAAUGGGAAUAUAAAGCAGUUGAGUGAAUAAACUCUCUUAAUGGUCUUGACUAUUUUUUUAAUGUUUGGUUCGGUUGCUACAACAUUUUCUACAGCACUAGGCCGAAUCCUUAUAUAUCCACAGCCGUCGCAUGUUGGAUAUCUUAUAUCUAUAUGCAACCUAACAAUGAUCAGUUGCUAUGCCAACAUAAGAUAUAACAUUACACGCUUAGGUUCUAUUUACCCUACAAGGUGAAUCCUUAUGUCUAGUUCAUCACUAAUCUUAAAUCAAGCAUGGCCCUUUUGGAACUCAAGUAAAACUCAAUCCGAGAAACUCAAUUUAAGAUCAAGUAUUGUUCUGAUAUGUUUCAUUAAGAUAGGCCCUUUUGCGGCUCUCUCCUAACUUGUAUCAGUAAAUGGGUGAUCAACCGAAAUAAUGAAUAAAAAUAAAUACUAUCAAAACAAACUACUACAGCAAACAUGCAGCAACACAUAUAUUCAGUCAAUAAACCAUCAAGAUUGUUUAUCACUCAACCACAGAUAAAUUUAGUUCAUGGUUUGCAAAAGAAAAAUAAAGAACAAAGUUUCAGCCAUGAAACACAUCCCCAUAAAUAAAUAGAAAACGAAAAAACAAGAGAAGAAUAAGAAUGAUUGAGCUCCCAGUUGAUUCACUAUAAGAAAUCUGACUUUCUAAGACAAAUGUUUUUAUGACAUUUGUAGAUUUUGUCAUAAAAUAAUACUUGGUGUGAUGAUCUUUUAAAGUCGUAGCAAAUAAUCUCGUCCUGGCUCAUGUUAUAUUUUGUAAUGAAUAAUAUUCAUUUUAUGACCCAAUAAUUGGUCACUUAAUCAAAUGUUUUGCGACAAAUAUAAAAUUAGCCACAAAAAGACAUACUUUAAAUUCCCUCCAAAAUUGAUCAGUUUUUGACAAAAUAUCAUCUUUUAUGACAAAAAAUAUGGUAGCGAAAUGUAAUUAUAAGUGACAUAAUUAUUUCGUAACUAAAAGAGGGAUGUAAAAUUGAUCAAACCAUUUGUGACAAAAAAUAUUAGUCUCCAAACCUAAUAUGGUUUUGAUUAAUUUUUAAGACCCUAUUUAUUUUUAUCACAAAUAAUUACCUAUUGUGACAAAACUAAAAAAUAAUAGUUUAAAAUUUUUUCUUGAGUAAUUUUGUAUUUCAUGACUUUUUUUUUCAUAGACACUUUAUUUAGUAUUUGUUUCAUAUUUUUUUGGCAAACUUUACAACAUUGACAAAAAACAGAGAAUAAUAAUCAAUAUUUUUAAAUUAUAUUAUAUUUUGUGACCAACAAAUUUUUUAUAUGUAUUUUAUUAAAUAAUUGAUAAGAUAAGAUAAAAUGUCAAUAUUAAAUAUCAAGAAAAAAGGUAUUUAACUGAUAGGUAUUUUAUUAAAUAAUACAUUUUUCUUGAAAUUUAAUUACGCACAUUAUUUUUUAUUAUUUAGCUUCAUACAAAUUUGUUUAACUAUGUUAGAUUAAUAAAAAUUAAAAUAAUAGCCUUAAAAUAAUUAACUUAGAUUAUUAAAAAAUGAUAAUAGACUUUUUUUAAACCAAUAAUAACAAACUUAUUAUAGCUUCUUUUUUAUUUUUUUAAAAGAAUCCUAUAAUAAUUAAUUAUGUUGGAGUUACAGAAAGAAUACAUAUUAUAUUGGAUAAAAAUUAAAAUAAAAGAAUAACUAAACUUAAAUAGAAUAUAAGUUUCUCUAAUGAAAUCGUGAAAUACAAAUAAAUCCCCUCCCACUGAUUCCCUGGCCAAUUUUGUUGUUAUCCAAACAAAACCAUUUAAUUUCCUCCCACUCUCUCCCAGGCCACUUCACUUUAAUUGGUUUUGUAUUAAAAAACUACCCUAUCUUUAUCUUUUGUAAUCCUUUCCAAUUUAUGCGUGAGUGUGUGUGAAUGAUGAUAACAGAACAAAAACGCAUGACUAUGGAGGCCACCUCACUUUGCCGCCGCCCAAAAGCACGCCACCCUCACCAGUCCACUCAUGCAUGCCAAAAUCAGCCACUCAACAAAAUUCACUCUCAUCUCUCGUUCUACUUCGAAAUUGUGAGUAUAUAUAAACUCAGCCAAUUUAAUUUUGAUUAGUUUAAUUGUGAUUGGAUUAUGUGAAAUUCAUAUUUUUGUGUUUGGUAAAAUUAGGGAUUGAAAUUCUUAGAUCUAUUAUUUGAAUAUUUUUAUGCUUAUCAGGUGCUUGAUAAAAUUCCUAAGAGAAUCUAGUAAAAGAAAAACAUAAAAUAUAUGCAAAUAAAUGAAGGAAUUUGAAGCAAAGUUUAGUAGGUUUUGAGAAACUUUUGCAAAAUUAGGAUAUUAAGAUGAAUUUGUUUUUCAAUUUGAGCAGUGGGUUUAGGUGUGCUGAUAUCAGAUUUUUUUUUCCUAAUAUUCUUUCAUAAGAACUUUCGAAAAUGGGAUCUUUCUAAUUUUUGUUCACUUCAACUUGGUAUGUAAUUAAUCAUCUUUCGUUAUUUUUUUUAAGAUAAUUAUAGCUAGUAUUCAUAUAGUAAAAAGAGUUAAUAAGUUAUUCGAGUCCAGCCGAUAUAAUAAUAAGUUAAGCUACAAACUUUUAAUUAUAAAACACAUGUGUUGGUUGGAAGGACGAUUUUGAAGCUUGGGUUGCUAAAGUUUGCUGAAAAUAUUGUUGGCUUUGCUGGAUUUGCUAGGAAGUGUAGAUGAAGUGACUAAAUAAAGGUCAAAAAGCCUUUUUUUCCCCAAGUGGUCGUUGUAUGUUUAGUCAAAAUUAAUAUGCUUAUCUUCUUUUGUACUGGGAUAACAAAAAAGUAUGGAGAGAGUUUCCUCGAUUACUUUGUUUAAGAAAAUGUAUUAGAGUGAGCGAAAAAGGUUCAAGUAGUCUCCAUACAAAAUUUAAAUGUGUAAGUUAUCUUAUUUUUAUUUUUUGACUUAAUCUUUUAUUUCUUUCAACUUUAUAUUUAUUGUACUGUAAAUGUUGAUUUAUUGACUGCUUAAUAAUUUAAUUUAGUUCAAGUUUGACACCAACUGUUUAAUCGAUUAAGUUCAGAGCUUUGGAUGUAAAAUUUGUGCAAGUGAAUCGAGGUUGAUUAUGUGCUUGUAAUCUUGUGAUUAUAUUGUUAAUUUGAAGUCAUAAUGAAAGCAAGUAUGUGCUUGUAAUCUCCUGUCUUUCAUUUAGAAUUUUUUCCAUUUUUUUAUUGGAUGAAAGAAUUGAUUGCGGAUAUGUUUCAUUGAGAAUUUAAUUAUUUUUGCAUUCUUACCUAAAUAUUUUUAUAUAUAGCUAUUGCCUUGCUAUUUACUAUUCUUUCAUUUUGGCAAUAAGAUUUUCUUUCAUAAGAUUAUUCUCCUAUACCAAUUAAGUGUUUUCUCAAGUUUUUUAUUAUUAAUAUUAUUUUUUAAUCAUGUAAAGACAAAUGAUAGAUAGAGAAAAAUGAUGUACCAAUAAUAGAUGAUCAAAUUGUGAAAUACUUUUGGAAAAAUCUUUAAUUUUAUAAAGAUAAAAAAAUGACAGGUACCUUCAAAGUCAUCUUCUACUACAACAUUGUCUUAGCACAACAAGGAUAAAAAGUUAAAAUCAAGGAAGAAGAUAGCAAAUUUAAGGAAGUUGAAGCAUUCAUGAAACAACAACCUGUUGUUUACUUAAUUAUGCUUUUGUGUAAUGUUUCUUUUAUUUUUCUUCUAUGAUGUAAUCUUAUUUUUAGACUAUUGAUUUUUUACCUUUUUGAUUUUAGAUUUCUUUGUAAUGAAUUAUAUUUAUGUUAAUAAUAUUUUUCACUUCAAAGUUCUUUUGUCAUUAAAUUUUGAAUUCUAUGACUACAUAUUGUUAUUAAAUUUAUGUGAGACUAUAAAAAUUGUCCUUAAAAUAAAUUUGAGACUAAAUUAAUUACCAAUUGUAUUUGUAAAAAUUGUCACAAAUGAUAACUACUUGAGACGAUUGUGUAAUGUCGCGAUAUGUAAAUUGUCAACGAUUGGUAAUUGUAUCAUUGAACCUCUAAAAUAACGAUUUUUAGUAAUUAUCGAGACUAUAUUUACAUACUCUUGAGACAAAUAUUAUAGUCAUUCUAAAUCACCUAUUGAGACCAAUGUUUUAGUCACUAUAAAUCACCUAUUGAGACAAAUAUUAUAGUCACUGUAAAUCACAUAUUGUGACAAAUAUGAAGUGUCAUUGAUUGCAUUUUUGAAUCUCUAAUUUGACCAUUUUGAACACUAUUUGUGACAAUUUUAACUUAAUUUUAAGACAAUGGUCUUUGUCACAAAACAUAUUUUUAACAUGACGAAAGUAAUUAUGGUCGCUAAAACCUUUUAAGACGGUCUUUCCGUGACUAGCGUGUGACAAUUUAUUUAUCAUCAUAGAAAAUAUAAGGUGACUAAUAUGUUAUCUUGAGUGACUAAAUUUUUUGCAAUAAAAUAUCAUUUUUCUUGUAGUGAUUUUGUAAAUUCUCCUCUUGUGCAGCCUUUAAUCUCUCUCUUGAAUCUUGUUUUUCUUUUGUUUCUUUGUGUUUUUCUCCUUGGGUGAUGGCUCUCUUAUUCCUUAUGAUGUGUGCUUCUUUUAUAGUUGAAAAUUAGGGUAAACGGAAGCCUAGGGCAAGCAUUAGUCAGAUUAGGAAACUGUAGAUCGCAAUUCUGCAAGUAUCCCGCACAUAAUUUUCUAUGUCGUUGUUUUAGGAUUGCUACAGCAACGGCUACAACAACUGCACUGUUCCAGAUAGCUAAGUUCUUCCUCAUUUUUGCAAGCCUAUUGCAUGAACAUUCCUUCCAUGAAUUAUAAGCUUCUGGAAACCUACAAUUAUGCACACAAUUUAAGCACGAAUUACUUUAAAUUAAGCAAAACUCAUUAAGACUAAACUAAAAUGAAUAUUUAUGCAAAAUAUAACAAAAAUGCAAUAGAAACACAUCAUUUACUCUCUAAGUAAUAUUAAUUUAAGUCUAAAAGUGCUAUGAUAACUCUCAUUUCAUAGAGUUAUCAGUAUAAUUAUUAUUUUAAAUUUUUACUUCUUUAUUUUUCUACUACUCACUAUAAGAAAAAAGAGAAUUAUUGAUAUUUAAAAACUGUCAAAUAAAUGAAUAUUUGACCAUUAAAAAGUGCCAAAUAUUCCUGUGUCAAAUAUGCUUAUUUGACAUUUAGUAAAAUUGUCAUUUAUUUUUGUCAAUUAAUAAUAAUCAAAUAUUUUUCACAAUAUAAGAUUGUCAAAUGUGUAUGACACUUAAUAAUAGUCAUAUACAUGUGACAUUAUUCAAAAUGGUCAAAUGCAAAUGACUUGAUAAAAAUAUCAAAUAUUAUAAUUCCUUGUCUUGGGUUGCACAUAAUAUAUAUUAUAACAUUGAAACUUGAUAAAAUUCAAAAAAUUUCAACUAACUUCAAACACCAUAAUAAAGCAUAGGAAACCUGAAUUCAUAUUAAAAUGAACUUGCAUUGUAUGUAUAAAUGUAUCAAAUGUCUUAAGUAUAAUUCUAAAAUAAGAUUGUUUCUAAAACUAUACAUUGAGCCUAUAGUUAGCAUUCCACCAUCGGUCCAAAAGUUUUUCAUAGCAGCAUUGUACAUACAAAAGGAAAAUGUGUUCCUGUGCUUAAAAUCACAUUAAAAGCAACUCCAAUACUGAUCCCCAGAACCAACAUGGGUUGAAACAAAAGUGCAAUGUCAUAGUCGAUAACGGGCAUAUCCAGUGUGGGAUGCCUUUGCCUUAGAUUGUAGACAACAGUAGCAACCGCAGUACCACUGAUCAUACCUACUCAGUCAUGAGGGUUAAAACGACUAUGAGAGUAAGCAUAUGAUUGUCUUGAACAACUAAGAUUGUAUCUGUAAAAGAGGGGUUUGUUUCACUUACAUUUUGAUAGUGCUACAGAUGAUUUUGGAUCAAAUCCAAUAAUCAGAUUAAGUACAGGAACAAAUAUGCCACCCCCACCAACACCACCUACACUCCCACAUAGCCCUACACAUCAAGAAACCAAAAUUACUGCCAUAUACUACUAUUAUUGUUUAAGGAAGAGGCUAAAAAAGUAAGUCAUGGUUACCAGUAAGGCAUUGACAAAUUUUGAUUGAAUUAACUGAGAGCUUUUAUUAUGAAUCCAACUAGAUGAUAUAGUUGCCUUAUGCAAUGAAAGCAUAAGAUAUCUAUGCACAAAGAGAAGGAAAAAUCUAUGCAUGAAAAAUAUUAACAAUAAACUAAUGUACUUCAAUUGAAUCAUAUGCUAUUUACCUGCAUUACUUGUCUCUUUUGCAUUUUUUUUCAAAUCAAGUCACUAACAUAAGUGGUCCAAUCAGAGCGAAUUUCGUUGAUCUCAUCUUCAUUAUAAGUAUCUUUUUCAUUAAACUGACAUCAAAAGACAGAAAACUAUAUUUAUUUGUCACUCCUUCAAUUCAUAGACUUCAUUUUAACCACAUUUCUCUGUAAAAUCUACAAUAAGUUUAAGCUAUGUUAAUGAUCUAACCUUUGCACAAAGUAUACUUUGAUCUGCAAUAAUCUCCUUCAUGAAUCGCAUGACAUAGUAGCCACAUUCAACAUUACCAAUUUGCGUAGGCACAUUAACAUCAUUCCAUUUCAAAUUAAUCUUUUUCAUUUGCUGUCCUUUUUUGACAAGAAACAUUCAAAUCCCACUACAAAAAAUACAAAUUAAAUAUGAAAUAUUAAACUCAAUAAUUAUAUAUAUAGCAAAAACCACUAGUACACUUAUAGCUAAAUAUCUUUAAUAUACUUACACUGUUACAAUUUUUUUUAUAUCAACACUGAUUUCAUUUCUCACUGAAUUCAAAUAAUGAACAACCAUUGAGGGCAAGUCGAUCACAAGCAAGAUCCAAUGACAACUAUUAACAAAUGAAUAAAGAGUUAGAAAAAAUUACUAAUUAAAAAGUAAAAACUAAGUAGAUAAACAAAGAUAUUUAAAGCAACAAAAUAACUAACCUAGGAUUAUAUGGUAAGAAGAUAAAUUAUUUUGCACUCAAUUCUUGGAAGCGAUCAGCAAGAGUUUUUGCUUUCUGUUUGAAAGUACUCUCAUCCAAAAAAGAAAGAGUGGUAGGAUGAAUGAACCCAAACUUUUCAUUAAUUAGCCUGGCCUUCGUUUCAGCACAAAGAUAUCUAGUAUAUAAGAAAAAGCGCUAGGUCAAUUAAAGUGAAACAAAAAUAUUCGACAAAAUAUAAAGCAUUAUUGAAGUAUCAUACCUCAUGUAUACAGCAAUGCAGUUUUGUGAAAGCUCUUGCAUAUCAAUAAGAUCUUGAAUUUCCUCCAAAGUGAGAUAUGUAUGCAAUUUGUAACUAAACGUGUCCUCAAAAUCAACCUUAACUUGGGAACCAGGUUUCAUAACUUUCUUUACCAUUUUAUCAAAAACUUGUAUGUCAGGAGGUUUUUUAAAUGUUUGCUGAACUAUGGGAGAGUUUACUUCCUCAUUCACCUCUAAUUUUUCUUUAAAAGGGUUGAUAACUGAUUUAGACACCUAGAAAUGCAAACAUUCAAAUAUGAUUAUUACUUCAAUUUUAAAUAAAGAAAUAAAACAAGAAUUAAAGCUAGUAAUAUAGGCCAGGUACCAUUGGGGUGUUAGCAUUCACAUCUAAUUUCCCCUUGGAAGGCUUUACAGCUGACUUAGACAUCUAGAAAUUUAAGCAUUCACAUAUGGUUACAAUUUAAAUUCUCAAUUAAAGAAUUAAAAAAAAGUAAUAUAUGCCAAAUUCAAUACCUUGUUUACUACAACAGCUUGGGAAACAAGCUUUUCUUGCCAUAAUAUGUGCUGUCCUAACCCAUCACUGACGUAAACAAGCUCACUAGUCCUGAUUGGAAGAUGGGCAUCUGGACUUAAUACCAUAUCAAUUACAACUAAAACAUUUGACUUCCUAUACUCCAAAAUAGUUCCAGUAGCAACAAUGUUUUCUUUACAUCCUACAGCCAACUGACAAGUUUGAUCCUAACCAAAAAAAGUAAUAAGAUUAUUAAAUAUGCACUUAAAGUAUAAAUUCAAAGAUUAAUUUAAUUACUUGAGUGUGCGUACCUUAUUUUUUUGCUUUUCAAAAAUUGGAUUUGUUUUGUUCUUUGUCUCGUUAGACACAUCUUGUGAUCCAAAUCUGUUGCUACAGACAUUGGAGUGUCUUGCUUUUGGUGAAGAUUUUGAGAGAUCAUGGAUAGUAGCUUUCAUCUUCACUAUUUGUUCAUUCAACAGCCUCUUCUCCUUUUGCCAAUCAGAUUCUAAAUUAACAGUGUGAAAGAAAGAAGAUGGCUUGACUCCUCUUCCCUUCCCUGUAACAUGCCCAUUACGCUCAGGCUUCUUUAAUGCUUGGGCCAAAAUAUCAUUCUCACUAGAUGUGGUUAUAACCCCUGAUUUUGCUAGCUGGGUCAACUCAUCCUACAAGAAUAUAAGACCAUUAUUCAUGCAACAUACAAGGAAUUGAUGGAAAAUUGCUCAAAGAAUAUUAUACUUACAAUUGUAUGCACAACAGGUAUCACAACUGGAUGAUAUCCACCAUUUGGGUUUCGACAAGCCCUUUUCCAUGCUACACUUCUAUCCACUUUCAAAUUGGGAUUUCCACAUUCUUUUUUCUAAUUCCAAUAGCAAUGUGACCAAUGUUAAACAUACAUCAAGUGCUAAAAAUAAUUAUAAUUUUUUUAUGAAAAAAAUACUUACUAUUUCUUCUUCUAAUCCAUUAUAACCUUUUCGACCAAGGUGAUGGUUGUAAAGAUUUAGUGCUCGUCUUUCUUUUUGAAGGCCAAUAAGCGUCUAAUGCAUAUCAUACAUAUGUUUAUUAGCAUUAACAUAAAUAAAAUAUAAAAAAAAUAAUGUUCACAAUAAUAAAAAAAGAUUACCUUAAAUUCUUUGGAUAAUCGAUCAUUAACAAAUGCAUCCUAAUGACCUUUUUGUAUGAAAGAGUACAAUAACGGUGGGUUACGCAAAUGAUUUGGAUGGGCUUUGUACUUUUUAACAUGUCGUGUGAGAUUAUAUCUAAAAGAACGAAAUGAACUUCCACCAAUUUGCAAACAUUGUCUUUUAAAUCGAUCAUCCACGUCAAACGAACUCUGUAAGACAUGAAAUAACAUAUUUAAACUACUAACUUUCCUGCAAAUGCAUCACAUAAUAUUCAUUUAGUUUUAUUAAUAUUAAAAAAUGAUAUUGUUUGCAACCACAAGAACAACUGAUAAAAUUAUAUAAUUAACCCCAAAAAAUAAGGCAAUGAGAUCACAAUUUUACUAAUUAAGAAUGAAAGUGAAAAUUAUUUGUGCGUUCUUUGUUUGUUGAACAAGAACAAAUAUAAGACUUAGUAUCAAUUAAAAAUACAAUUAAUUCAAGUAUAACACUAAAAUUAUCAAACUAGAAAGAGAGAAUUAAAAAAAAUCAAAAUUAAAAGAAAAAAAUACCUGAAAUUCAAGAAGCGAAUGAAGCUGAAGCAAGCUGAACUUCUUCAUGGGUUCUUCUUUAUAGGUUGAGUGAUUGGAUGAAAAAAUGAGAGAUGACUGUCAUUUAUAAUGAGAAUGAAAAUGUAUGAAACAGACUAAAUUGAAGCAAUAAUCACUUCUUAGAGUGAGUUUACAGACUCAAUAAAUUAAAAUCUCAUUAAUUAAUAAAAAUCAAUAACAUUACUUCUAAUUUGCAAGCAAUUUGAGAAUUGUUGCAGUUCUGUAAGUUUCCUUUGUUAAAAUGUAUUAAACGGACCAAAUUGAAGCUAAGUGCAUUACGUUAAUAUAUUACGAGAAACAUCUCAAUAAGAUGCUUGUUAAAAACAAAAUAAUCUUUUAAAGAGACAUUUCAUCAAACAAGUAAUGUGCAUUCAAAUAGCAGAGCAGAUACGACACUUGGAAUCAAUUAAAUCAACCCUAGAUUGUUUUAAAAUAUAAAUAAUUCAACUAUAACCCUAAAAUUAUCAAACCCCGAAAGAGAGAAGUAGANNNNNNNNNNNNNNNNNNNNNNNNNNNNNNNNNNNNNNNNNNNNNNNNNNNNNNNNNNNNNNNNNNNNNNNNNNNNNNNNNNNNNNNNNNNNNNNNNNNNAUAAAAAAUGCGAGGUGAUUAUUUUAAAAAAAUAUUUUUUUGAAUUUUCAAAAAAAAAACAAAGGCAGUCCAUAUGUGAUAUGUGAACGAAACAAGCUCACAAACAAAAAGCAAGCUGAAAUUCUUGGAAGACGGGCAAGAUGGGCAUUUGGACUUAAUACCAUAUCAAUUACAGGUCCACAACAUGUGCGGUUUUUGUUUUUUUCUUAAGUCAAUAAAAGGAAAACGUAAAUGGUAAUUAUUCAAUAAAUAUAUAAUAUAUUUCCACUUAUUUGGUAAAACGUCAUAAGUAUUUGAUGUUUAAAUAAAUUGUCAUUUAUAUUUCACAAUUACUCAAUUUUUCACAAAAUGUCAUAUAUAUUUGAUAUUUCUUAAAAAUUAUCAAAUAAAAAAUGUCAAGUAUUCUAUUUUUUCUUGUAGUGACUCCCCCCCUCCCCCCAAAAAAAUCAAUGCUUUCCCUUUUCCAAAAUUACUCAAUAAAAAUUGUUAACAUAAGAUUGUCAGAGAUUACUUUUAGUAUUUUAUCGGUGAUAUCAUUCUAUUUUUAAUUCUAUUUUUCUUAUUUUUUAAAAUUUAAUUUAAUUUAUUUUUAUUGAUUUAUGGCUUGAAUAAUCUAAAAAAAGAUUGUGUUUGUUUAUUUUCUUGUUAUUUAUAUUUGAAAACUUGUCAACUAGAAAACAUGCAUUAGAAUAUGAAAAACUAUUAAAAAAAAAAAGGAGGGUAGAAAAACUAGUCCAAUAUCAAAAAUCUAAGCACUUCCUCGGUUUGAAAAUAAUUUAAAUAUUUCUUUAUUAAAAAUAAACUGAAAAUAAAUAUUUUUGUUCUUUUUUUUCUCUCUUGUUAAUAUCACACAUGGACAACAGUAGAGGCGGCAAUUCGAGUUAAUGGAUCGUGUUCAUGUUAUGUCAUCAAAUUUGAGCUAACCCAAGCCUAACUCAUUUAUUAAUUGUGUAAAGAAUCUCAACCCUAGCCGAUCCAUUUAUUAUCGUGCUAUAAUUGUGUUACUUAUUUAACAAAAUCUCAAUUUUUAAUUAAAAAAAUAUUUUCAAUAUGUUUUUAUAUUUUCUAUAAAUCUUGGGGUGCUAUCAUGUUAAACUCUAAUCAAUUUUAUUUUAAAUACAAAUAAAUGAUUUUAAAAAAUAUGAAAAUUCAACAUUUAUCUAUCGAUAAAAUACAAGUCAAGUAGUAUAAUUAAUUGUGACAUAAAUAAAUUAUCAUAUGUAAAACCGAACCUAAUACAGUUAUUAAUCGAGUUGACAGUUCGGAAGAGCUAGUAAAUCCAUUCAAGUUGGAUAUUCAAGUAUCUGAUCCAAAUAGAUUGGAGAAUAUCCAUCCAAAAUACUCUGGAUUUGGUUUAUCUUAUGUUCAUCCAUGAACUUGAUUAUUAUUAAUAUUUAGGUAUAUGAGACUAAAUUUGAAUAUUAUAAUUAAUAUUUAAGUUUUGUAAAUUAAAUGAAAAAUUAAAAUAACCUUGCCGAAAAUUAUUGCACCAACGAUGACAAUGAUGGCACCAUCAUCAAAAAAUAAAAGUGAAUGAACAAAAACACAAAUACUAUCAACAUAUUUGAAAUUCUCCAAUCUAUGUAAUGGAGGCAACGUUGCCAGAUAAAUGGAUGUCUAGGGAUGGAUGCGCCUUCCAAUACAAAUAGUCGUAGCAAGACCAUCAUGAUUAGGCGGCAUUUCAAGGUUCACCACUACAUUUAACAACCAAAUUGAUGGUCUCUAAAUUGGAAAAAGGUGAUAGUGUAAUGUAACACACUAUGGUUUGUGGCAUAAUUAUGGUGAUAGCCACUUUUGGAAGGUGCAACUUUGCACAUCACCAUUUUCUGACUUUGAGACCAUCAUUAUGUAGAUCAUCCAAUUUUAAGUCCAAUGGUACCCUUCACAGUCCUCUUCAAUCAAUAACAAUCAUGUCAUCGUCGACAACGGAGCAGUGACCGCCAGCAAUUAUCUAUAUUUUUAAUGAAAAUUAUUGAUUUACAAUUAAUUAAAAAAUAAGAGUAAUGAAUUUUGUUUUGUUAUUAUGUUUCUAUAUCAAAAGUAAUUUUAAUUACCUUUUAAUAUUAAUAAUUUUAAGAAAUUAAAUAAAAAUGAAUAAUUUUUUUUGUAAAACACAUUAAUUAGUUUUUCAUAUUAUAAAAUGUAUAGUAUUUAUAAUAAAAUUAAAUAUCAAUGUCUACCCAUGGAUAUCCAUAUUCAUAUUGGAUAAUUAUGUAUUUUUACAAUGGAUGAAUAAUCACUAUAUCCAACUAGAUUUUGCAUCCUUAAUUGAUAGAGAUAUGACCAAUUAAAUAAUUGUGUCAAAUUAACUACUCAAAUAUAUUUUCUUGUGUUAUUUUCUUAUCAGGUUAAUGGGUUAGCGUCGAACAAUAGCAACAUGACUAUGAUCAAUUUUUUUUUUAAUUUGAUAGUGAAAUGUAUUUUUUUCCCCCAAUUCUAGCCAAUUAAGCAUUGACUUCUCUUCAUUUAUUGCAAUAACAGAACUUAUAUUAUCCAAAUUUGACAAUUUUGUGAUGUUAGAGUAUCGUGUUCAUACUGAUAUAUUCAAAAGGUGCUUGUGACAUAGGUCUUGGAAUCUAGAGGUCUUGGCUUCUAGAGGUAUCACUAUAAUUGAAAAUUUCUAGGUGAAAGAGAAAUGUGUCAAAAUUUAAAAGUCCUUGGCUUUUUUGUUUUUAUAACAAAUAUCAAGGCUCCAUUAUAGUUGACUUAGAAAAAGACCAAAAAAAGGGUAACAAACCUAUGUGCCAACAUAGUUUUGCCCUAUAUUAUGGGAAAGCUAAUAUUUAGGCUUUACCCGAUUAUUACUCCUAUUCAUAAUUAUCUAUCUUAUUUGAUAAUCUUCACCUUAAAAAAUAAGAUAUAUUUUUAUGGUAUAAUCAUUAUUUUAAAUUUUUACUUCUUUAUUUUACUACUACUCCCUCCCCCCCCCCCCCCCCCAAAAAAAAAUCAAUGCUUUCCCUUUACAAAAAUUACUCAAUAAAAAUUGUUAACAUAAGAUUGUCAGAGAUUACUUUUAGUAUUCUAUCGGUGAUAUCAUUCUAUUUUUCUAUUUUUAAUUAUUAUUUUUCUUAUUUUUUAAAUUUUAUUUUAUUUUUAUUUUUUAUUGAUUUAUGGCUUGAAUAAUCUAAAAAAAAAGAUUGUGUUUGUUUAUUUGCUUGUUAUUUAUAUUUUAUUUUUAUUUUUUAUUGAUUUAUGGCUUGAAUAAUCUAAAAAAAAAAAGAUUGUGUUUGUUUAUUUGCUUGUUAUUUAUAUUUGAAAACUUGUCAACUAGAAAACAUGCAUUAGGAUAUGAAAAACUAUUUAAAAAAAAGGAGGGUAGAAAAACUAGUCCAAUCUCAAAAUGGAGCUCUUAAUAAAUUUGUCACAACUAGUCAAAAAGGUAUAGAUCUAACUGAAAAAUUAGUUAUUGAACAACUAACUUCAAAUGAAUUAAGCAAUGAUGAAACAGUGAAUGAAAUAAACAACAGUGAAGAUGAUAAAAACAAAAAUCCAAACAAAGUUGAUGUACCAAAUUUAUUUGUUACAAAUAAUAUGUAUGCUUCAGGAAAAUGGGAAAAUGUUGAUGCAAAGUUAAGAGAAUCUUUUAGUAUAAAAAAGCACAAUUAAAGACAAUAUCAUAACUUUCACAAAAGAUGAAAAUUCAAGGCAUUUCUCUGCUGUAUUUUAUGUUAAAAUGCUACCAAAUGGAGAAAAAUAUGAUAGGAAAUGCUUGGUAGAUUCAAAAGAUUUUGACAAAGUAUAUUGUUUUUGUUGCAAAUUAUUCAAUACAAGUUGUAGCAAAAAUCAGCUUGAUGAUGAAGGCACAAGAGAUUGGAAAAAUCUUAGCUCUAAACUUAGAGAUCAUGAAACAACCAAUGAACAUAUAAUUGAUAAAGAUGUUCAAGAAUAAAUUGAUAAGGAAAAAGAACUUUGGAAAAAAGUACUAAUAAGAAUUAUUAUUGUUGUAAGAAAUCUUUUUAAAAAUAAUUUAGCAUUUCAUGGAAAAAAUGAGAAGAUCUAUGAAGAGAGAAAUUGAAAUUUUUUAAGUUUAAUUGAAAUGAUUGUAAAAUUUAAUCCAACAAUGCAUGAACAUAUUCAACAUAUUAAAAUCGGUGAAGUUAAAGAUCAUUAUCUUGGAUAUAUAGACAAAAUGAGCUGAUAUUGAUUCUAGCACUUGGAAUAACAGUUGUCACUGACAGGUUAAGAUAAGCUACCAAAUUGGCAAGGAAGAAAUUCUAGUAUUAGUGUCAUAUUUUAUGCCAUAUUAUGUAAUGCAUAUUAGUAAUGAUUUCUUCAUAAUAUCGCAGAUAUAUAAAAGUUCAUCCUAGCUAGAUACAUUGUAGAUUUUGUAAGAAUUAUUUUACUCCGUCCAAAUGAGUUCACAUUAUUAUCCAAUUUUCCUCUUUUUUUCCUUUUUUUUUUCCUUUUUUUUAAGUUGAUUUAUGAAAGAAAAAAAAAUGACACCAAUGUUUUCCACGUCGCCGCAAGUCUCAUCGAUAAAAGUCCAUUUACAAAUUAGUUCAUAAUUCUUUUUGUAACUUCGCUAAAAGCUAGUCAAGUCAUUGCUAGCAAGCCUCAAAAGCACGAAGUACGCGAAUCACGGCGAUAACUGAUAAUAACUUGGUUGUCCGGUUUCGCAUACUAAUUAGCUUGAUUGAAAAUCGUGAAGUAUGGGGCACGACUAACGCAACGCAUACGUCUCAUGCAUUAGGCAAAUAUUGUACGCCACCCAUGUUGAGAGCACAAAUCCACUAUCUACAAGUACUAUAUAUAGAGCUGCAAUGCGUGCUUCAAGUAUUCACAACUUACCCCUAGCUGGCUAGCUAGCCUCUAUAAUUUGAAGGAAAAAAAAAACAAAACAACCUUGUUCAACUUGCAAAUACCUACCAAUUAUUAUGGAGAAAAGCUUUGAUAUCAUUGCCCUGUCUAUGAUCAUUCUGGUGACUUAUUCAUCUAAAAUGGUGUCGGUCGCCGGCCGGUCGCUGCAUGAACCAUCCAUUGUUGAGAAGCAUGAAAAAUGGAUGGCUGAGCAUGGGCGCACUUACAAGGACGACCUGGAGAAGGAAAUGCGGUUUAAGAUAUUCAAAGAAAACCUUGAAUACAUUGAGAAAGCCAAUGAGGAGGCGAAUCGGACGUACAAGUUAGGCACCAAUGAAUUUUCAGACUUAACUAAUGAGGAGUUUCGUGCUUCAUAUACAGGAUACAGGGUGCCAAGCCAGUCAUCUUCAUCACGGCAAUCCACAACAGCAUCCUUCAAGUAUCAAAACCUGACUGACGUUCCAACUAGCAUGGACUGGAGAGAGAAAGGAGCUGUCACUCCUAUUAAGAACCAAGGUCAAUGUGGUAAGUAAAUCGUAUACUAAAUAUUUAUGAAGUAACUAUAAUAGAUUAUUUAGCCUCCAACCUCUUUCAGAACUCAAACUCAGUUGACCAUCAGCUAAUUAACAAAAACAGCUUGACAACCGUCUGCCAACCCCUGCUGGGGCAUGUUUCAUGUAACUUAAUCAAGCCUUUUUUUUUUCCUUAAUAUGUACGAUGCAGGAGACUGUUGGGCAUUUUCAGCUGUGGCGGCGGUGGAAGGGGUCACUGAGAUUAGUAGUGGUAAUCUUAUUCCACUUUCGGAGCAGCAAAUACUAGACUGCUCAAUAGAUGGUAACCGUGGAUGCGGUGGCGGUUGGAUGGACAAUGCCUUUAAAUAUAUUAUAAACCAGGGUAUUGCCACAGAAGCGGAUUAUCCAUACAAGGAAGUCCAAGGAACUUGUGAAGACGCACAGGUCAAGGUAGCUGCUAAAAUUAGUAACUUUGUAGAUGUAAAACCCAAUGAUGAGCAGGCUUUACUCCAAGCUGUAGCCAUGCAGCCAGUAUCAAUUUGCAUUGAAGGAAGUGGACCAGACUUCCAGAGUUACAAAGGCGGUAUUUUUAACCGAGGAUGUGGAACUCAGUGUUCUCAUGCUGUUGCUAUCGUUGGAUUUGGGGCAACUGAAGAUGGAAUGAAAUAUUGGUUAAUUAAGAAUUCAUGGGGGGAGAGCUGGGGUGAGGCCGGCUACAUGAGGAUUCUCAGAGAUGUUGAAGCACCUGAAGGUCUCUGUGGCAUUGCCACUAAACCUUCCUACCCAGUUGCAUGAGUAGCAGUAUUUUAUAUUAUAAUAUUAUUAGCCGCCUCUUAAUAAUGAUGUCUUCAAGCCUACACAUGCAUUAGCCUCGAAAGGCUUAUACGAACCGUAUGAAUCGUAUGAUUCUUGGUUUUACCUAUGUUGAGUAUUUCAUAAGUUGUAAUUGAACGCCAAUAUUUGGUAUUAGUUAAUGUUAAAUCUCUCGUUUAAAUAUAAGUUUGAUCUUUGCAGUAAUUAGUCAUUUACAUUUAAUGUCACGGAUACUCAGUUCGACCAAGAAAUACACUGUUUAUAUCUCAGUUACUCUGAUAUUUUAUGUGGCAUGUUAUAUGUCGUUCAUUGAUUAAGUUGUAAGAAUAGUACGUAAAUAAUUAAUAAUAAAUUUAUUUAUUAUCAUUUAUGAGACAAUAAAUGAUUAGUGGAACAUUAAUUAAAAUACAAAUUAUUAUUAUUUAUUUAAAAAAUAUAUAUUGGUCAAUGAAAUUAAUGCAAGACAAAAAGUAACAGAAUUUUUUUUUUUGUUAAAAAAAGUAACUGAAUUUUGAUUACACGCUUGAUGUCUGGAAGUACAAUGAUUAUGAAUUUGUGUUAAAUUAGGUCAAAGUUUUAAGUUAAAAUAAUCAAACCUAUAUACUCACACUAACUUUUAAAGUUUGAGUGGAAUUUGCCCGCUUUAAUUGGGGUCUCAUACAGCAAAAAAAAUUUGGCCAUCUUGAAUUUCUUUUUCUAAUUACUUAUAAAAAUUUAAAGGCUUGGUAAUUUCCCUCCCCCAAAUUCUGUCUUUAUUCCUAAGUAAAUUAGUUAGUCAUUAUUUCAAUAAUUAAAAUUAUUCUAAGUUCUAAAUUUUGGGCAUGGAGGGAAAGUUAAGCGCAAGUAGCCGUGACUAUACUAUAUAGUCGCCUAAAGUUAAAUUUUCUCUUUUGGAGACUUCACACACACUUAGUCACUAAUACAUAUUAAUCAGUGGCUAGAACACUUAGCUACUGAAUCUUUCAUUUCCAAAUGAAAAAACUUCAUAUAUUGCAACCAGAAAUGUUAGUCACAUAUAAUUAAGAACUUAAAAAAAGAAAAGAACUAUAUUUCCCAUUUUAACUAUACUCUGUGACUAUCACUAUUACUUUCAAAUAAUUGUGUUAGACGUUUAGUGAUUAAAAUCAUAGUCGUUGAAGUCUUUUACUCACUAAAAUAACAUGAUCGGAUAAAAUCCAAUUAAUUGGUCUGUUUUUUGUGACUAAUCGCUGAUUAGUUAUAAUGUUAUAUAAUGAAAAAUUCGGUGACUUAAAAAAAUAGUCACAAAACAUGGACUAUAGUAGUAAAAUAACACAGAUAUAUGAACUGCAAAUUCCGUGAAUGUGUUUACUUGCUGAAGUGGGAGUAAGGAGUGUGGAUUCCUCCCAUUCCAGCGUUUACUUCCUCAAAAUGGGAAGGGAUUAGGAUUCUCACUCCGUGGUCUCCACCCAUUUUUGGAGUGGGGAGUGGGAGUGGGACUCCCAUUUGGGGAGGCCCUUUUUUGCCCUUUUAUUUUUAAUUUAAUUUAAUUCAAUAUUUUAUAAUUAAUAAAAUAAAAUAAAUAAUAUUAUAUUUAUUUGAAUAAUAAUAUUAUAUUUAACUAAAUAAUAAUUUGCAUUGAUUCUAAGUUAAAAUUAUUUUAAAAUAAUAUUAUUAUAUUAAUAGAGAAUUAAUAAAUAUAAUGUUAUUAUAUUUAUUUUAAAAAUAAUAGUACUAUAUUUAUUUAAUAUUAAUAAUAAUAAAUAGUUUAUUCUAAGAAAAUAUUAAUUUUGUACUAAAUAAUAUUAUAUUAUUAUUUUAUAUAAUAAUAAAUUUAAUAUAAUUAUAUUAAAUAAAAUAAAAUAAGGUUUCAUUUUAUAUUAAAAUUAAAAUUAAUAAUUUAUUGUUCAUAAUUAAGAAUAUUAAUAAUUAUAAUAAAUUUACAAAUAUAAUAAAAUAAAUAUUAUUCAUUAAAUAUAUUUUUUAUUAGUUUUGUAAUUAAAAACUAUAAUUCUUUAAAUAAGGAUAAAAUUAUAAUUUGAAACUAUUUACUCCCAAUCCAAGACAAAGUAAACACAUAAAUUGGAUUCUGAUCUCUAUUUCAUGCUUCCAUUCCAGUAUAAGUAAACAACCUACUUCCACUCCCACUCCACACUCUUAAUCCUAGGAUUCUCACUCCUCAGGAUUCCCAAUCCAAUCCAAAAAGUAAACGCUACCUAAUAGUAGUCAUGAAAUAAUAUAUUAGGUGGUUAAGUUUUAUUUGGUCCCAUAAUAUUUGAACACUAAAAUUCAUUUUUCUUCUAUUGUGAUCAGAUGAGCGACUGUCGCUCACAUGAUCACUACUCCUCUUUAAUAUACUUUCAGAACUCUUAUAUUUUGUGCAUCUAUUUAAUAAAUUUUAAAACUUAGAUUUUACUAUAAACACUAUUUUAAUUUUUAAAAAUAAAUGUGAAAGUGAAAACGCUCCUCAUUAAAAACUGAGAAUCUUCAAUAAUGUUCAAUGUUGAUGCCAAUCUUUUUCAUGGAUUUUUCUUAUAUUUGAUAUUGGCCAAUUCACUAUAUUUAAUUAUAAGACUGGCUCCUCUCCAACUUUAAUUUCCUCUGUUCAUGACUUUAAUUUCCUCUGUUCAUGAUUUCUCUGUCUUCGUUUCAAUUACGUUAAAAACAAAAGAUAAUUUGCAUAUUGAUGCAUGACUUUUCCAAUCAAUUCCAUUAGCCAGAACAGGUUGAGAAGUUAUGAGCCAUAGCUAGUUUCUUGAUCAUAUGCUACUAAGCUUUCCCUAAUUAGUCCCCAGAAACGUUUCUACGGGAACUCUAAUUUGAUUUUCCAUGGACGACGUUAAUUUGUUAAAACCUAAUUAUUUUUACAGUAGAUUACAUUAAUUUUGAGGUUGAAAAGAUAAGAUAAUUUUACCUCCAAUGGCUGUUAAAAAAAAAAGUAAUUAUUUCAUUAAGAAUACAAUGGUGUUAUACAUCUUAAAAUUUCAUUAUAUUUGAUGUAGUAUUCAUUUACUAGUUGGUGAAAUAAUGUAAUUAACUUACUUAGAACUAAGGGUAUAUACAUUGAACUGUCUUAGUAAAGUAAAAUUUUACUAAAAAAUAUAUAUAGUUGUUUGGAGUAGAAUUUUAGCAAAAUAAAAUAGUUGUUUUGUGGUAGCAUUGAGUUUUUUUUUUUUUUUUUUUUGUGAAAGUUUAACAUUAGAGGUAAUAAAGUAUUACAAAAUCUAUAGAAGACAUAGGGUGAUGUUUGGUUGGGAAGGGGAAAAGGAAAGUAAUUUAAGUUCCUUUCUUGUUUUUGUUAUUUGAUUGACUAUAAUUUAUAAGAAUUUAAUUUUCAUUAAAAUUUCAUAUACAUCAUAACAUAGAAUUUAGAUUCCACACCAAAAAGUGAUAAAUUUAAAUUUCUCUAAAAGCUAAAACAUCUAAAAUUACCCCUUCAAAUCUUUUAUUAACUAUGUUUACAAUUAUCAAAUAAUUAUUAUUUACAAUUUUCUUUUAUCAACUUAAUAUUGUAGAUGAAUAAUUUUAUAUUAAUAAAAGUUGAAGUAAUGAAAAUGAUUUAAUAAAUCACUUUAUUUAUUCGAUUAAUUUACAGAAAUAGAAAUAUAAAUUUAAUAGUUGUUGGACCACCGCCAUUGCCGCCGUUGGACCGCACUGUCGCCAUCGAUUCUGCUACAUGGGACAUCAUGCUAGUAUCGCUGGACUUGCCAGCCAACGAGCAACCUCAUUAUUUUGUCAUAGAAGUGAAAAAAUGAAUUUGUUUUCUUCAAAUCCAGUUAAAUUUUUUUUGAAAAUUUUCUAACUUUUUCAGAUCUGGACAAACAUCAAGUAUAUUGGGCAAAUAAGUUGCUUGAAUCUAUAGAUCAUUAAUUUCUUAUAAUUUUCAUAUAAUUCUCGAGUUGGAAUGACAUGCUACAGUGGUGGCCGGUGGCAACAUGCAGCGGCUCCAAUGGCGGCAACAACGACUCUUUUUUUUUUUUGAAGUUUGUCAAACAAAAUUUUUAAAAUUAUAAUAUAUUGGUUAAGAAAUUAUUUGUAUUAUGUCAUAAUUUAUUUAGAAACAAAUUAAAUUAGAUUAAUUAUAAACUAAAAUUAUGUUAAUAAACUUUUUAAAUAGAUAUAAUUACAAAUAUAAUUAUAUUAUUUAAAAUAAUUUUUAUUAGUUAUUUAUAUAUCAUAUUAAAUAAAUUUAUUGUUUAGUUUUUUGAAUUAUAUUUAUGAUAAAUAUUAAAAGUUUAAAACUAAAGUGUGAAAUAGUCUAAAUGAAAAAUAAGGCAUUUUCUUUGUUUGUAUAGUUUUGUAAUAAAUUAAACAUUAGAAAAGAGUUUCAAUCUUCCCUCCUUUCUUCCACUUUCUUCUCUUCUCAUUUCCUUCUCUUCUUCAAACCAAACACCACCCAAGAUAAAAAGUUAAAGGGAGAAAAUUUUACCUCGUGUGACGCUGCAUUUUGUACAAGUAAUUUAACAUACUCGUGUCAAAUUUCAGUAAAUACAAGCAUAAAUGGGUGGGUAAAAAACUCACAACCCACAAUCCAAAUUAAACCCAAACCAAAUUAGGCAGUUAGGUCAGUUUGGACUGGUUGAAAAUUUAUUUAGUUUGGGUUGGAUUCAAUCCAUUUCAAUUUUUGUAUAGAUUCUUAAAGCAGGAAAGACUGCUAAGUGCCAAAAGUCCCUGUAUAAAAUUAUAUAUUUUCAAAAACACCCUUACAAAAAAUAUCUUCGAAUUAAUAUUUUAUAAACUAAGUAAAUCAACAGGAUUUUAACUAUCUCAUUCCCGGAAAUGAUUUCAUCAUUGCCGACGACCGAGAUGUGUUUUUAUGUCGAUCAAUCGAAUGCCAAAUUUUUUAGCCUAUUCAAAUAUAAUACCAUUAUCAGAAAACGAGACCUUAUAGCUGUGAAUCUGCCUCCUCUCCACCUACAGGAGUGGCGGCACCAUGACUUUGCCAAAAUUUUCAAGUUUUUAUAUCAUUUGAUGAAUGUCGUACUGUAACAUAGACCAAAAAAUUCUGAUUUAGAUGAUACCAAAUUUGCCUUCAUCAUGGUUCAUUUGCCGCCGACAACGACAAUGAUGGCACCAGUGAAGCAACAAUCACGCCGGUGGCUUAAAUCAAUUUUUUUAAUAAUUAAUCAAGAAAUAGCAUUGAUUGUCAUAUUAAAUAUUAAUUAAUUUUUUGUAGUUUAUAAAUAGAAAAUAAAAUUUCAAUAAUUUUUGCAUUAAACAGUUUUAAAAUAACAAUUAAGUUUUAUUUCAAAAUUGAAAAAGACAUAAGUAUCCAUUUUGGUCAUUUCUACAAAUAUAGAUAAGUAAUUUUCAAUCAUAACUUGAAAUUUAUUUGGAAAGAAAUUCUUCAAUAAUUUAAAUUUAUCAAAUACGCUAUUGAAUUAUUUUUAGACUAUAAUGCAAUCCAAACAUGUCUUAUGUCAACCCAAACUCAAACCAUAUUAAAAUAGUUUGGUUUGGGCUGGGUUAUAAAGACUUUGGGUUACAUUUAAAUUUAUUUAGUUUGGUUUAGAUUGAACUUAAACCCAACUAAAACCAAUCCAAGCCCACCCAUUUGAUUACAUUUAUCAAUUAGAGAGAAAAGGAAAAGAAAUCCCAAACGGUAUCUAAUAAUAAGUCUGGUACUUAAUAUAAGAUAAUUGAUGCCGCGAUAAAUGGAAGCAGAAUAUUUCUUCUUGUCGAACUUCAGAGAAUGAAAGCUCGGUAGCUCUUUGAUGAAAUGAACUUUGGAGAUAUUUCAUGUAAUAAGAUUAAAUCUGCUUUGGAGACGGAAUCAAACUAACAAGAAGUACAGACUUUAAUUAAAAUCACAAAUUGUGUUUUGUCCUAUGUAGUAGAAUUGCAAAUUUACAACUGAGCCCUGCCUUGGUGGGACAAGGAAAUUGACUGUACCUUAAUUUAGUGGAUAAGACGGACAAAGCCCAAAUUCAUUUGAUACUUGUGCAAGUUGCUGCUGACUGUUGGUGUGUAGCGAGCAAUUUGUGCCGUUUUAUUCAAGCACUACCUCUGUCCAGUCUAUUAGUAUCAAUUGUGAUCUGCCAACGUUUUCCAGUAGACUCCACAACAGUGGGGUGAAAACCGUGUACUGAGUCAUUUUCUGUAGAUUAGUAAGCGGGGCCAAUGCACAAUUAAAUAUUAAAUACCGGGCUAGUCGCUAGUCCCCACAUUAGCAAAGAGUGAGCCCCAUGAGCCAUAAAAAUCCAUCACCUUGCCCUGUGCUGCUGCUUUAUAAACUCACUCAACUCACUCGUUCUCUUCAUUUCAGUUCCAUUCUCAUUAACAUGUCCAACAUGACAACGUUGGAAGAAGAAUCAUCCAUCCUGGAAUUCAUUCGCCAGUUUCUUCUCGGAGACUUUACCUCCUUAGACGACCCAAAUCUCUCUUUUCUCCAGCCUAUGGAGUCAGAAUUCCCUGUGAUCAAAUCCGAACCCGACUCCCCCACCUUUUGUGAAAUAAUAAAACCUGAACCAUUGGACAUAACGUGUUUGGGUUCCAGUAAUU